This 298-nucleotide long non-coding RNA is filed under the name Triticum aestivum (bread wheat). RNAcentral describes it as "long non-coding RNA (TAES_LNC028545)". Lineage: Eukaryota; Viridiplantae; Streptophyta; Magnoliopsida; Poales; Poaceae. The record is from RNAcentral.
UGGUGAUGAACUGAUGUUCUCGGAUUCACUCGAUCGUGAAGUACAAUUAAUUACUGCUACCUCCAGUAAUAGCCUGAUAGGGUAGGGGGAAUUGUUAAUCUCUAGUUACCGCUUCUCACCGUUGUUUGUUUAUGGAUCGUGUUAACCUCUGUGGCUGUGGCCAUGACUCCGUUGUGUGUCUAGGUUCAGAAAUGAAACUCUGCAAUUUCUCUUGCUUUGUGUAAACAUGUUUGUGCGUGCAUGGGAAGCUCAAGGAAGAUUUUAGUACUGUGCUAAAGUUUCAGAAUUCAGAUUUAGC